RNAcentral lists this ribosomal RNA (480 nucleotides) under uncultured bacterium. Its description in RNAcentral is "partial 16S ribosomal RNA". It matches the Rfam family "Bacterial small subunit ribosomal RNA", at positions 28 to 522 of the family's 1533-position model. The record is from RNAcentral.
GACGAACGCUGGCGGCGUGCCUAACACAUGCAAGUCGAACGGAGAUAUGAUUUCGGUUGUAUCUUAGUGGCGAACGGGUGAGUAACGCGUGAGCAACCUGACUCUUAGAGGGGGAUAACACUCGGAAACGGGUGCUAAUACCGCAUAAGACCACGACAUGGCAUCAUGACGAGGUCAAAGGAGCAAUCCGCUGAGAGAGGGGCUCGCGUCCCAUUAGAUAGAUGGCGGGGUAACGGCCCACCAUGUCAACGAUGGGUAGCCGAGCUGAGAGGCUGAUCGGCCACACUGGAACUGAGACACGGUCCAGACUCCUACGGGAGGCAGCAGUGGGGAAUAUUGGGCAAUGGGCGCAAGCCUGACCCAGCAACGCCGCGUGAGGGAAGAAGGCUUUCGGGUUGUAAACCUCUGUCCUUGGUGACGAAAAAAAUGACGGUAGCCAAGGAGGAAGCCCCGGCUAACUACGUGCCAGCCGCCGCGUAA